This 363-nucleotide ribosomal RNA is filed under the name Salmonella enterica subsp. enterica serovar Braenderup. RNAcentral's name for it is "bacterial SSU rRNA". It matches the Rfam family "Bacterial small subunit ribosomal RNA", at positions 740 to 1102 of the family's 1533-position model. Lineage: Bacteria; Pseudomonadati; Pseudomonadota; Gammaproteobacteria; Enterobacterales; Enterobacteriaceae. The record is from RNAcentral.
CUGACGCUCAGGUGCGAAAGCGUGGGGAGCAAACAGGAUUAGAUACCCUGGUAGUCCACGCCGUAAACGAUGUCUACUUGGAGGUUGUGCCCUUGAGGCGUGGCUUCCGGAGCUAACGCGUUAAGUAGACCGCCUGGGGAGUACGGCCGCAAGGUUAAAACUCAAAUGAAUUGACGGGGGCCCGCACAAGCGGUGGAGCAUGUGGUUUAAUUCGAUGCAACGCGAAGAACCUUACCUGGUCUUGACAUCCACAGAACUUUCCAGAGAUGGAUUGGUGCCUUCGGGAACUGUGAGACAGGUGCUGCAUGGCUGUCGUCAGCUCGUGUUGUGAAAUGUUGGGUUAAGUCCCGCAACGAGCGCAAC